GCGGCGGACGGGUGAGUAACGCGUGGGAAUAUGCCCUUUGGUACGGAACAGUCCCGGGAAACUGGGUUUAAUACCGUAUGUGGUCCUUCGUAGUGGAUACGGGGGACGAAAGAUUUAUCGCCAAAGGAUUAGCCCGCGUUGGAUUAGGUAGUUGGUGGGGUAACGGCCUACCAAGCCGACGAUCCAUAGCUGGUUUGAGAGGAUGAUCAGCCACACUGGGACUGAGACACGGCCCAGACUCCUACGGGAGGCAGCAGUGGGGAAUCUUAGACAAUGGGGGCAACCCUGAUCUAGCCAUGCCGCGUGAGUGAUGAAGGCCUUAGGGUUGUAAAGCUCUUUCAGCUGGGAAGAUAAUGACGGUACCAGCAGAAGAAGCCCCGGCUAACUCCGUGCCAGCAGCCGCGGUAAUACGGAGGGGGCUAGCGUUGUUCGGAAUUACUGGGCGUAAAGCGCAUGUAGGCGGACCAGAAAGUUGGGGGUGAAAUCCCGGGGCUCAACCCCGGAACGGCCUUCAAAACUAUUGGUCUGGAGUUCGAGAGAGGUGAGUGGAAUUCCGAGUGUAGAGGUGAAAUUCGUAGAUAUUCGGAGGAACACCAGUGG
RNAcentral lists this ribosomal RNA (600 nucleotides) under Paracoccus oceanense. Its description in RNAcentral is "bacterial SSU rRNA". It matches the Rfam family "Bacterial small subunit ribosomal RNA", at positions 95 to 715 of the family's 1533-position model. Lineage: Bacteria; Pseudomonadati; Pseudomonadota; Alphaproteobacteria; Rhodobacterales; Paracoccaceae. The record is from RNAcentral.